GGAGGAGAAAAAAAGCAACACUCUUCCCUGCACUGCUCAACUUGCAUGAGUUGCCAAGUGCUCCUCAGGUCAGCUCAUGCUAGAAGUGGACGGUAUCACAGUGUGGGUGAAGGUCAGUGUAGGAGCAGCUGCUGAUGGGAGGAAGGAAGUCUAGACUAAUGAACUCUGCAGCAUCUCCUGGUGUGAUACCAGAGGAAGCAGACAUGACAUUGCAGAAGGAAGUGAGGAACUCCUCAGCAGGAAGCCACAAACCUUGCGGAAACCUGCAGGAGAGUUGGAGCAUGUGUGGAUGCCCA
Molecule: long non-coding RNA, 296 nt
Filed under: Gallus gallus (chicken)
Lineage: Eukaryota; Metazoa; Chordata; Aves; Galliformes; Phasianidae
Description: long non-coding RNA NONGGAT003021
Source: RNAcentral